ACGGACACAUCACUUUGAAACACCGGUUCGCACACGGUCACCGAAGUUAAGCAACGUCGAGCUUGAUCAGUACCUAGAUGGAUGACAGCUUGGGAAUACCAAGUGCUGUGA
This is a non-coding RNA of Acanthosepion pharaonis, 111 nucleotides long. Lineage: Eukaryota; Metazoa; Mollusca; Cephalopoda; Sepiida; Sepiidae. The record is from the annotation of a GenBank genome assembly.